Molecule: ribosomal RNA, 620 nt
Filed under: uncultured Bacillota bacterium
Lineage: Bacteria; Bacillati; Bacillota
Description: bacterial SSU rRNA
Rfam family: Bacterial small subunit ribosomal RNA
Source: RNAcentral
GAGUUUGAUCUUGGCUCAGGAUGAACGCUGGCGGCGUGCUUAACACAUGCAAGUCGAACGGAUGUACUAAUACAUUAGUGGCGAAAGGGUGAGUAACGCGUGGGCAACCUGCCUUUUACAGGGGAAUAACAACGUGAAAACGUUGCUAAUACCGCAUAAAACUUAAUAUGGCAUCAUAUAAAGUUGAAAGGGAUUCCGGUAGAAGAUGGGCCCGCGUCCGAUUAGCUAGUUGGUAAGGUAAUGGCUUACCAAGGCGACGAUCGGUAGCCGGACUGAGAGGUUGACCGGCCACAUUGGGACUGAGACACGGCCCAGACUCCUACGGGAGGCAGCAGUGGGGAAUAUUGCACAAUGGACGGAAGUCUGAUGCAGCAACGCCGCGUGAAGGAAGAAGGUCUUCGGAUUGUAAACUUCUUUGAUCUGUGAAGAAAAGAUGACAGUAGCAGAAGAACAAGCCACGGCUAACUACGUGCCAGCAGCCGCGGUAAUACGUAGGUGGCGAGCGUUAUCCGGAAUUACUGGGUGUAAAGGGCGCGUAGGCGGGAUAGCAAGUCAGAUGUGAAAAUUCGAAGCUUAACUUCGAACCUGCAUCUGAAACUGUUAUUCUUGAGUGUCGGAGA